GAAGGUUCUGGAAGGGCUGUCGGGGAGGGAGACUGCCACCUUCCUACUUCUUAUCACCACCACCAUCCUGGCUUCCCCAGACGGUGACAAGGGCUGGGAAGGGGAAGCGCAUGUUCAGGUCUCCGGGAGGGGCGACCUGAUUAUCAUCUUUGCGGGAGAAGAAAGCACCACGAGCGCCCAGAUGUCUCAGCAGUCAAUGCUUUGCUGUGAUGGCCAGAACCACACCUUGUGAAGAGUGGCAGAGCUGUGAGGAAUGGUCUCUGCAGGCCUGGAAGGGCUGAAACCCCUACGACUCAAGAAGAGGAGGCUGAGAACCUUGAAGCAGACAUGAGUGACACAAAAGUUACUCCCAGGCUGUGGACCAGUCAUCGAGAUGGAGAGGUCCUUCUCCGGAUCUCCAAACACGGGCCAGGCCACGAGACCCCGAUGACCAUCCCUGAACUUUUUCGGGAGUCAGUCAGUCGCUUUGGGGCUUAUCCAGCGCUCGCCUCAAAGAACAGCGAAGAGUGGGAAGUUCUGAAUUUCAACCAGUACUAUGAGGCUUGUCGGAAGGCUGCGAGAGCCCUGAUCAAGCUCGGCUUGGAGCGCUUCCACGGAGUCGGCAUCCUGGGGUUCAACUCUGUCGAGUGGUUCGUUUCUUCCCUUGGUGCCAUCUUAGCAGGGGGCCUUUGUGUUGGCAUUUAUGCCACCAACUCCCCGGAGGCUUGUCAAUACGUCAUCACUCAGGCCAAAGUGAACAUCCUGCUGGUUGAGAACGAUGAGCAGCUACAGAAAAUCCUUUCGAUUCCGCAGAGCAGCCUGGAGACCCUAAAAGCCAUCAUCCAGUACAAGCUGCCAAUGAAGGAGAGCAGCGCUAACAACCUGUACUCUUGGGAUGACUUCAUGGAGCUGGGCAGCAGCAUCCCCGACUCCCAGCUGGACCGCAUCAUGGAGAGCCAGCGGGCCAAUCAGUGCGCGGUGCUCAUCUACACUUCUGGGACGGUGGGCCCUCCCAAGGGCGUCAUGCUGAGCCACGACAAUAUCACGUGGACGGCCGGGGCGGCAGCAAGGGACAACCGCCUGUCUCACGCUGCAGAAAAGCAGGAGGUGGUGGUCAGCUACCUGCCCCUCAGCCACAUUGCAGCUCAGAUGAUGGAUAUCUGGAUUCCCAUGAAGGUUGGGGCAGUCACGUACUUUGCUCAGCCGGACGCGCUCAAGGGCACCUUGGUCAGCACUCUGCAAGAGGUCAAGCCGACAACCUUCCUGGGGGUGCCCCGAGUUUGGGAGAAGAUGCAGGACAAGAUAAAGGAAAGUGGUGCUAAAUCCUCCAGCUUGAGGAAGAAGGUGUUUUCAUGGGCAAGAGCGACUGGCUUAAAGGUCAACAAAAAAAGGAUGCUUGGGCCAUAUGACAUUCCCAUGAGCUACCGCAUGGCCAAGGCCCUCGUGUUCAGCAAAGUCCGGAGUGCCCUUGGCCUCGAUCAUUGCCACUCCUUUAUCAGCGGGGCCGCGCCCCUCAGCCAUGAGACCUCCGAGUUCUUUCUGAGCCUGGACAUACCUAUAGGCGAGAUGUAUGGUAUGAGCGAGAGCUCAGGACCCCACACCACGUCCAACUAUGAUAACUACAGGGUUCUAAGCUGCGGCAAGAUCAUGAGUGGGUGCAAGAACAUGCUGUACCAGCAGAGCAAGGACAGCACAGGGGAGAUCUGCAUGUGGGGCCGGCACGUCUUCAUGGGUUACCUCGAAAAGGAGGAGGCCACCCUGGAGGUGCUCGACGAGGAAGGAUGGCUGCACACCGGGGACCUCGGCCACAUGGACAACGAGGGUUUCCUCUAUAUCACCGGUCGCAUCAAAGAAAUCCUCAUCACGGCUGGCGGCGAGAACGUGGCCCCCAUUCCCAUCGAGAACCUGGUCAAGGAGAAGAUCCCCAUCGUCAGCCACGCCAUGUUGGUGGGGGACAAGGCAAGGUUCUUGAGCAUCCUGCUGACGCUGAAGUGCGAGGUGGACGGGACGAGCGGAGAGCCGCUGGACAGACUGAGCGGGGAGGCGAUCAAGUUCUGCCAGAACCUGGGCAGCCAGGCGUCCACCGUGACCGAGGUCCUGGAGCUGCGCGACCCACUGGUCUACAAGGCCAUCCAGCAAGGGAUCGAUGCCGUGAACCAGGAGGCCGUCUCCAACGCACAGAAGAUUCAGAAGUGGGUCAUCCUGGCCAGGGACUUCUCCAUCAGUGGCGGAGAGCUGGUCCUGCCUCAGGGCCUUUGCACCUGCUGUUCAGGACACCUUGAGGGAAGCCCAAAUCCUGGGUGACUCGGAGCCGAUGGAGCAUCCGGGGCCAUGGAUCAGACCAUUCCAGAGCUCGAAUCUUCACGCCGCCAUGCACUCGCUGGGUGACCUGAGAGUGACUGGCCCUCUGUGUAAAAACACCUGUCUCCUCACCUGUAAGAUUGGGGGGUGCAGUCCCUCUUUCAUUGGAAGCACUGUCCAUAUGGGGCACAGAGCUCAGUGUACUGUCCACCCACCAGCUCACGGAAUCCCUGCCACAGCCCGAGGACAAGGUCCGACGACAAAGAUUAGGCGACACUACAUAAGUGAGAAAUACAAAAGGCAAAUCGACAACUUGUACCACUGACUUCUUUGGCGGAGCCACUCUUGGCUGUCCCGACG
This is a non-coding RNA of Equus caballus (horse), 2640 nucleotides long. The record is from RefSeq and is a predicted model, not a curated record. Lineage: Eukaryota; Metazoa; Chordata; Mammalia; Perissodactyla; Equidae.